UACGUAGGGUGCGAGCGUUAAUCGGAAUUACUGGGCGUAAAGCGUGCGCAGGCGGUGGCUCAAGCCAGGCGUGAAAUCCCCGGGCUUAACCUGGGAACUGCAUUGGUGACUGGCGGGCUAGAGUAUGGCAGAGGGGGGUAGAAUUCCACGUGUAGCAGUGAAAUGCAUAGAGAUGCGGAGGAACACCGAUGGCGAAGGCAGCCCCCUGGGUCGACACUGACGCUCAGGCACGAAAGCGUGGGGAGCAAACAGG
Molecule: ribosomal RNA, 253 nt
Filed under: uncultured bacterium
Lineage: Bacteria
Description: partial 16S ribosomal RNA
Rfam family: Bacterial small subunit ribosomal RNA
Source: RNAcentral